Molecule: ribosomal RNA, 485 nt
Filed under: uncultured bacterium
Lineage: Bacteria
Description: bacterial SSU rRNA
Rfam family: Bacterial small subunit ribosomal RNA
Source: RNAcentral
AUUGAACGCUGGCGGCGUGCCUAACACAUGCAAGUCGAGCGGUAACAGGUGUAGCAAUACAUGCUGACGAGCGGCGAACGGGUGAGUAAUGCUUUGGAAUCUUCCCAGUAGUGGGGAAUAACCAGUCGAAAGAUUGGCUAAUACCGCAUACGUCUGUAAAGGGAAAGCGGGGGCUCGUAAGACCUCGCGCUAUUGGAUGAGCCAAAGUCGGAUUAGCUAGUUGGGGGGUAAUGGCCUACCAAGGCGACAAUCCGUAGCUGGUCUGAGAGGACGACCAGCCACACCGGAACUGAGACACGGUCCGGACUCCUACGGGAGGCAGCAGUGGGGAAUAUUGGACAAUGGGGGAAACCCUGAUCCAGCGACGCCGCGUGUGUGAAGAAGGCCUGCGGGUUGUAAAGCACUUUUAGNGGGACAAAAAGCUACGGAUUAAUACUCUGUGGUCUUGAUUUAACCCGAAGAAAAGCACCGGCUAACUCUGUGCC